CCGGUAAGGAGUGCUGGAGCGGUAUGAAGUGAGCAUGCAGGAAUGAGUAACGAUAAGAUAUAUGAGAAUUGUAUCCGCCGUAAAUCUAAGGUUUCCUACGCGAUGGUCGUCAUCGUAGGGUUAGUCGGGUCCUAAGCCGAGUCCGAAAGGGGUAGGUGAUGGCAAAUUGGUUAAUAUUCCAAUACCGACUAUGGAGCGUGAUGGGGGGACGCAUAGGGUUAAGCGAGCUAGCUGAUGGAAGUGCUAGUCUAAGGGCGUAGAUUGGAGGGAAGGCAAAUCCACCUCUGUAUUUGAAACCCAAACAGGCUCGUUGAGUCCUUUUAGGACAAAGGGAGAAUCGCUGAUACCGUCGUGCCAAGAAAAGCCUCUAAGUAUAUCCAUAGUCGUCCGUACCGCAAACCGACACAGGUAGAUGAGAUGAGUAUUCUAAGGCGCGUGAAAGAACUCUGGUUAAGGAACUCUGCAAACUAGCACCGUAAGUUCGCGAUAAGGUGUGCCGCAGCAAUGCGGUCUCAGCAAAGAGUCCCUCCCGACUGUUUACCAAAAACACAGCACUUUGCCAACUCGUAAGAG
This 573-nucleotide ribosomal RNA is filed under the name Moraxella catarrhalis. RNAcentral's name for it is "partial 23S ribosomal RNA". It matches the Rfam family "Bacterial large subunit ribosomal RNA", at positions 1261 to 1839 of the family's 2925-position model. Lineage: Bacteria; Pseudomonadati; Pseudomonadota; Gammaproteobacteria; Moraxellales; Moraxellaceae. The record is from RNAcentral.